AUAACACGCGAGGUCGACGUUCAAUUUAUAGAACUUAAACGUCGAAAGAAUCAAAUACUUAAUAAUAAACUUGAUUUGCGUAUUUCUUUUUUUCUAGCUCGGCGAAUCGAAUUUUGAUGAGGAGAUUACGAAGAUAUUAAAAUGGAGGUUAAGUUUUGCGUUUCGAAAUUUCGUCUAUUGACAUCGAAGAUAAGUGUCGAGCUCAAAAAUUUCCAGUAAACAGGUACCAAGUGUCCUCGGAAUUUUCUACUUUACGCAUAGACGAUCACACGAGUUCGACAAUUUCUACGAAGUGACGUAAGGGGAGGACAAUGCGUAUGUUGUGCCUUUCUAACCACACCGGAGAAGAUGCAUUUAAAUGUCUAUAGCUACGUUAAGCAAAAAGAAAUAAGGGACAGGUAUUGAAGUUCAACGUGUCACAAACACGGAAGGGAGAAGAAAUAGGAAUAAUUAAAAUCGACGACGCAAAAUACAGGAAGCGUGUAUGAGAGAGAAAGAGAACAAUGGAACGUGUUCCAAGCUGAGACUUCUCUAUCGCGUUUACAAGCAUCGACUUUUGCGGUCUCUACAAUGAGAAAUAUCUUUUUGGAUUCGUUCCAACGAUUCUGUCGUUGACCUCAACAUACGGUCCACGUUCUUUAAUUCGUUUCUCCUUGUUCCUAUUCGGAUGUAAUAAUCGAUCAUCGAUCGUAAUGAAUUUAUUUCGAGUUCUCGAUGAAAGCUUACUUACUUAUAUUUUACUCGUUAACUUCUCGACGACAUUCGAUAGCUUCCAACGUUCCUCAGGACGUGACAGAGUAGAUAAAAUAUCGUCGUUGUUUCGGACGGCGUCCACAAAGAGAGCAACUCCAUGACAGUGUCUCUUUUUACCAUACUGUCGAUGGAUAGCUCUCUUCAUAGUUCGCGCCUUGUUUUCAUUUUCUCGAACACUUCGAUUCUUUGCCGAUGAUCGAUGCUGAAGCGCUAUAAAAGAAUACUUGAUCAUUUUAUCGACUUAUAAAAUAUAAUAAUGUGAUAUAGGAAGGAUAAAAAUCUUCGCCCUUGAGUUCUUUUGAAAUUAUAAUUUUCUUAAUGGUUUUAGUUCGAGGAGUAUCAAAGGAUUAGCCUCCGGGGUGUCGUGAACGCGACACAUGCGGACGCAUGCUAGGAGGAACGUCGAGUAGCACGGAAAGCGUGCCUCAAACUCGCUUCUCGAGCUCGUUAUCGGGGAGGUGCGAGCUACUUCUCCCUCUUUAGCGUUGCCACCUGAUUGCAUGGCAAACACGAGCUACUCGCGUUAGCUCGUGCCAUCGGUUGUUAACACUUUCUUUAAACCGAUACCGUAGGAUCCUGCUCGACUUUGUCUACUUAAGAAUUAAUUUCUACAGAACAUACAUGCCGUACGCGUAGCGAAAGAUCUUUCAGGAUGAAACGAUAAAAUAUCCUCGGCAUCGAACUGAUCUUAAUUACACGAGAAGUCUUUACUUGCAAAGUCUACCGCAAUUAUCGCACAUCGACUAAUGCCCGAACAAACUACGGAGAGAUAUAAAAAAGUUGCGACUCUUAAGGUUUACUUGAGAAAAAUGAAUUCGCACAAACGAACGUCUGAUGAAGGUAGAAGAACGAGUGACGUGGACGGCUCUCCGUGUCCGCUCAUAUACUCUACCUGCGCCGAUCUGACGUCACGGGUUUCGUCUCUUAUCAGUAGUCAGGAGCGCCAACACCUGUAUAGCCAAGCACCUGUUCGUCGAAACCUUCGAUGGUCGUGCGACCGCGCCUGCUCUGCAGAUCGUCCACCCUACUUUUCUAAUUCAUUAUCGUCUCGAAGAUGGAUCUUCGAAUCUUCGCCAACGACAACUUUUAACAUUUUCUUAAACGAAACAAAACGAAGGGUUGCUUUAAAUGGCGUGAAAGAAACAUGCAACUUGUUCGUUCUUUUACGACAGUAUCACGCGUGGUUUUAUACGAUGCGUAACGCCUUAUCUCGUGUCCUAGUUACAUCACUGCUACCCUGACUACGCUUGCUAUAUAUACACUAAUGAUACCUAUAAGGUAGAUCGAGAUCGAGUAAUGGAUCGCAUAAUGAUUUAAAGUCAGUUGCAUCGAAUGUGUCAAAAGGAUAGAUUUUUCUGUUUAUUUCGGUAUUGAGUGAUACGAACUGUACGAGGGAAAGUAUAUGUGCUCGAGAAAGAAGGAUCGAACGUCUAACAAAAUUAUAUAUACGGUUAACUUACCACAGCGAAAAACAAUUCAGAGAUAUCGACGUUAAAGAACGUAGAAAUGUAUUGACGAUUAUUUAAGUAAAACAAAAAAUUGCUUUUAAAAAUGGCUUUCUAUUAAAAUUUAAUGUCUUCUUUAAAGUUUCCUUGUAAUAAUGUAUAAUAUAUGAAUGAGCCGUCAAAAAAAAAUAUUGUUCAUUUUCUGUGCCUCAAUGACUUUGUAUCAUUUUAAAAAGAAGAGA
Molecule: RNA transcript, 2440 nt
Organism: Vespula vulgaris
Lineage: Eukaryota; Metazoa; Arthropoda; Insecta; Hymenoptera; Vespidae
Exons: 6
Source: RefSeq, a predicted model, not a curated record